Molecule: ribosomal RNA, 253 nt
Filed under: uncultured bacterium
Lineage: Bacteria
Description: partial 16S ribosomal RNA
Rfam family: Bacterial small subunit ribosomal RNA
Source: RNAcentral
UACGGGGGGAGCAAGCGUUGUCCGGAUUUACUGGGCGUAAAGCGCGCGCAGGCGGACUGAUCAGUCUGGGGUGAAAUCUCACGGCUCAACUGUGAGCGGUCCCUGGAUACUGUCAGUCUUGAGAUGUCUAGAGGAGAGCGGAAUUCCCGGUGUAGUGGUGGAAUGCGUAGAUAUCGGGAAGAACACCAGUGGCGAAAGCGGCUCUCUGGGGACCAUCUGACGCUGAGGCGCGAAAGCGUGGGGAGCGAACCGG